This 623-nucleotide ribosomal RNA is filed under the name Vermamoeba vermiformis. RNAcentral describes it as "SSU rRNA". It matches the Rfam family "Eukaryotic small subunit ribosomal RNA", at positions 639 to 1263 of the family's 1831-position model. Lineage: Eukaryota; Tubulinea; Echinamoebida; Vermamoebidae. The record is from RNAcentral.
UUUCGGAAGGUCCUUAGCAAUCCGCCCCUUCGGGGAGCGGGUUGCUGGCCUCCUAUGUUCCUAACGGCCCUCAUCCGCGAGGGUGGGGAAUCAACCGCUAGGAUCGUUUACUUUGAGGAAAUUAGAGUGUUCAAAGCAGGCGUAACUCGCCUCCGAAUACGUUAGCAUGGGAUAAUGGAAUACGACUUCGGUCUUGUUUCGUUGGUUUCGCUUGGCUGAAGUAAUGAUUGAUAGGGACAGUUGGGGGCAUUAGUAUUUAGUUGUCAGAGGUGAAAUUCUAGGAUUUACUAAAGACUGACCAAUGCGAAAGCAUUUGCCAAGGAUGUUUUCAUUAAUCAAGAACGAAAGUAGGGGGAUCGAAGACGAUCAGAUACCGUCGUAGUCUCUACCGUAAACUAUGCCGACCAGGGAUCCGGAGAGUUUGCAUGGAUGACUCCCCGGGCACCUUGUGAGAAAUCAUAAGUGUUUGGGUUUUGGGGGGAGUAUGGUCGCAAGGCUGAAACUUAAAGGAAUUGACGGAAGGGCACCACCAGGAGUGGAACCUGCGGCUUAAUUUGACUCAACACGGGGAAACUUACGAGGUCAGGACACUGUGAGGAUUGACAGAUUGAAAGCUCUUUCUU